This 468-nucleotide ribosomal RNA is filed under the name uncultured bacterium. RNAcentral describes it as "partial 16S ribosomal RNA". It matches the Rfam family "Bacterial small subunit ribosomal RNA", at positions 28 to 507 of the family's 1533-position model. The record is from RNAcentral.
GACGAACGCUGGCGGCGUGCUUAACACAUGCAAGUCGAACGGAAAGGCCCUGCUUUUGUGGGGUGCUCGAGUGGCGAACGGGUGAGUAACACGUGAGUAACCUGCCCUUGACUUUGGGAUAACUUCAGGAAACUGGGGCUAAUACCGGAUAGGAGCUCCUGCUGCAUGGUGUGGGUUGGAAAGUUUCGGCGGUUGGGGAUGGACUCGCGGCUUAUCAGCUUGUUGGUGGGGUAGUGGCUUACCAAGGCUUUGACGGGUAGCCGGCCUGAGAGGGUGACCGGCCACAUUGGGACUGAGAUACGGCCCAGAAUCCUACGGGAGGCAGCAGUGGGGAAUAUUGCACAAUGGGCGGAAGCCUGAUGCAGCAACGCCGCGUGCGGGAUGACGGCCUUCGGGUUGUAAACCGCUUUCGCCUGUGACGAAGCGUGAGUGACGGUAAUGGGUAAAGAAGCACCGGCUAACUACGUG